Molecule: ribosomal RNA, 387 nt
Filed under: uncultured bacterium
Lineage: Bacteria
Description: bacterial SSU rRNA
Rfam family: Bacterial small subunit ribosomal RNA
Source: RNAcentral
GUAGUCCACGCCCUAAACCAUGGAUACUUGGUGUGACCACCGCAGUGGUGGUUGUGCCGAAGCUAACGCAUUAAGUAUCCCGCCUGGGGAGUACGAUCGCAAGAUUGAAACUCAAAGGAAUUGACGGGGGCCCGCACAAGCGGUGGAGCAUGUGGUUCAAUUCGACGCAACGCGAAGAACCUUACCUGGGCUCGAACGGCUGGUGCUACCGGAUGAAAGUUCGGGUGCUUGAGAUUACAUCAAGAGCCGCCAGUCGAGGUGCUGCAUGGCUGUCGUCAGCUCGUGCCGUGAGGUGUUCGGUUAAGUCCGGCAACGAGCGCAACCCCUAUCUGCUGUUGCCAACGGGUCAUGCCGGGAACUCUGCAGAGACUGACUGCGCAAGCAGAA